RNAcentral lists this ribosomal RNA (434 nucleotides) under uncultured bacterium. Its description in RNAcentral is "partial 16S ribosomal RNA". It matches the Rfam family "Bacterial small subunit ribosomal RNA", at positions 29 to 507 of the family's 1533-position model. The record is from RNAcentral.
AGCGAACGCUGGCGGCAGGCCUAACACAUGCAAGUCGAACGAACCUUUCGGGGUUAGUGGCGGACGGGUGAGUAACACGUGGGAACGUGCCUUUAGGUUCGGAAUAACUCAGGGAAACUUGUGCUAAUACCGAAUGUGCCCUUCGGGGGAAAGAUUUAUCGCCUUUAGAGCGGCCCGCGUCUGAUUAGCUAGUUGGUUGAGGUAAUGGCUCACCAAGGCGACGAUCAGUAGCUGGUCUGAGAGGAUGAUCAGCCACAUUGGGACUGAGACACGGCCCAAACUCCUACGGGAGGCAGCAGUGGGGAAUCUUGCGAAAUGGGCGAAAGCCUGACGCAGCCAUGCCGCGUGAAUGCUGAAGGUCUUAAGAUUGUAAAAUUCUUUAAUCGGGGACGAUAAUGACGGUACCCGGAGAAGAAGCCCCGGCUAACUUCGUG